This 592-nucleotide ribosomal RNA is filed under the name Salmonella enterica subsp. enterica serovar Paratyphi B var. L(+) tartrate +. Its description in RNAcentral is "partial 23S ribosomal RNA". It matches the Rfam family "Bacterial large subunit ribosomal RNA", at positions 598 to 1191 of the family's 2925-position model. The record is from RNAcentral. Lineage: Bacteria; Pseudomonadati; Pseudomonadota; Gammaproteobacteria; Enterobacterales; Enterobacteriaceae.
UGCGUACCUUUUGUAUAAUGGGUCAGCGACUUAUAUUCUGUAGCAAGGUUAACCGUAUAGGGGAGCCGUAGGGAAACCGAGUCUUAACCGGGCGUUAAGUUGCAGGGUAUAGACCCGAAACCCGGUGAUCUAGCCAUGGGCAGGUUGAAGGUUGGGUAACACUAACUGGAGGACCGAACCGACUAAUGUUGAAAAAUUAGCGGAUGACCUGUGGCUGGGGGUGAAAGGCCAAUCAAACCGGGAGAUAGCUGGUUCUCCCCGAAAGCUAUUUAGGUAGCGCCUCGUGAAUUCAUCUCCGGGGGUAGAGCACUGUUUCGGCUAGGGGGCCAUCCCGGCUUACCAACCCGAUGCAAACUGCGAAUACCGGAGAAUGUUAUCACGGGAGACACACGGCGGGUGCUAACGUCCGUCGUGAAGAGGGAAACAACCCAGACCGCCAGCUAAGGUCCCAAAGUCAUGGUUAAGUGGGAAACGAUGUGGGAAGGCCCAGACAGCCAGGAUGUUGGCUUAGAAGCAGCCAUCAUUUAAAGAAAGCGUAAUAGCUCACUGGUCGAGUCGGCCUGCGCGGAAGAUGUAACGGGGCUAAACCAUG